ACGUCAGGAUCGCGCUCGGCGGGAUCGCCACGAAGCCGUGGCGGGCUCGGACCGUCGAAGAGGCGCUUGUCGGACGUACUUUCGACGAGCCCACGGUGCGGGCCGCCAGUCGCCUGGCCACCGAAGGCGCCGUCGACCAUGGCGAAAAUCGCUUCAAGAUCGACUUGGCUCCCCGCGGCGUCGCGCGGGCGCUGCUGACCGCUGGANGACCGUUGGAGGAAUCGCAUGAUGGCUGUCACCAGUUCUGAAUCGCCGAAGAGUAACGGAG
This 268-nucleotide unclassified non-coding RNA is filed under the name Hevea brasiliensis (rubber tree). The record is from RNAcentral. Lineage: Eukaryota; Viridiplantae; Streptophyta; Magnoliopsida; Malpighiales; Euphorbiaceae.